This 227-nucleotide ribosomal RNA is filed under the name uncultured bacterium. RNAcentral describes it as "partial 16S ribosomal RNA". It matches the Rfam family "Bacterial small subunit ribosomal RNA", at positions 383 to 607 of the family's 1533-position model. The record is from RNAcentral.
CUGAACCAGCCAAGUAGCGUGAAGGAUGACUGCCCUAUGGGUUGUAAACUUCUUUUAUAUGGGAAUAAAGUUUUCCACGUGUGGAAUUUUGUAUGUACCAUAUGAAUAAGGAUCGGCUAACUCCGUGCCAGCAGCCGCGGUAAUACGGAGGAUCCGAGCGUUAUCCGGAUUUAUUGGGUUUAAAGGGAGCGUAGGCGGACAGUUAAGUCAGUUGUGAAAGUUUGCGG